Long non-coding RNA from Tachysurus fulvidraco (yellow catfish), 1417 nucleotides. RefSeq lists it as uncharacterized. The record is from RefSeq and is a predicted model, not a curated record. The transcript has 3 exons. NCBI's taxonomy places the organism in Eukaryota, Metazoa, Chordata, Actinopteri, Siluriformes, Bagridae.
AAUCCGCCCCUGUUUACUGCAGAAUGUGGAAACAAUCUAAUCAUUUAUUUAUUUGUGACAUUGUUUUUAUUCCGUACAAAUUUAAUUUCAUUUUAAUUGGAUUUUAUAAACGUAAGCAUAUCGUUUCAUACAUUUUAAAUAAAUCUAAUAACAGAAAACACUCCAAACAAACGUUUGCAUUCGGUUCUUUUGGGAACUAUUUCAUAACGUACUGAGAACUUUCUAUUCUGGUGAACAAGAAUGACUGGACCGACCAUCUGGGCCUGGAGAAGUCGGCAUGCUGUCAGUGUUUCAUCCGCCCUUCUUGUCAAGCUCUAAUCCUGCAGUAACCCAGAAGCAGAUGCCACCAGCACGAGGGAGGAAUAGUGAGAAGGAGCUGAAGCACAGUGUUGAGCUAUGUCCGGCCUGAGCAUGUCAUUCUGAGAAACACAACAGCCAGAAGGAGAGAGCAUGUCAGUGUGGCUGAAUGCAAAAGGAAACCUAAUCUCCUGGCAGUCGGUGCCCUUUGCUCCCCCAGAGAGAAGGGCGGCAACAAGAGAAGCAGCUGUCUCUUACAAUGGAGCAGCUCAACGAUCCUCAUUCAGACCUGGUUCACCAAUCCGGCAUCAAGGCACACACCCAGCUGACAAUGCUGGCACACAGGAAAGCCAGACAUUGGUGGGGGAGGUGCUGGGCAUUGUCUUUGGAAAAAAGAUGGCAACUAGGGUUGCAUCACCACUGGUUUAACUGCCAUGUCAAAUAUGAUCCACCACUACUCAGCACUUAUGUUCUGCCAAAACAGGACACCAAGAGACAUGGAAAUACAAGAUCAACUUAUUUUUACAUUGGUCAUGUAUGGUUUUAGGCAUCUGGUCAAGAGUGAUUAGAAUAAGAACUAUAGUAAACUCAGACAAGCACUAGGAAAAAAAUUAAUAAAACAAACAGAAUGAUUUGGAAUAUUGGUUCUGUUCAUUUUAUUACAGCAAUUUUGUUUUUCAUUUUUAUUUAUGUCAUAAAAUCCAUAUAAUUAUACAAAAGAAACACAAAAGACCAAAUUGCGCUACAUUUAUCAUUUAAGUUGUGUGUGAAUCUUUUCAUAGGUUAAGCCGAACUAAACAUUUUUGCCAGAUUUACAAAAGUUAUCACUAGUUUCUUCUUACUUGUACUUCUGCAGAUAAACUACAAGAACUCGUGCUCGUUAUAAGUCUUGAAAUCUUUCAGUUAUGUGUCACAAUGGUGAAUGUCUUCACAUCUAACACAGUUCUCAUGCAAUAUGAAUGUUUUGCUCUAUGUUCAUGAAUACCACAUUACCCUUGUAAAUGAUCCGGAAAACAAUUUAGCCACAAAUUAAUUCUUAUGUAGCUGGAUAGAUUGCGCUUCAUUGUCUUUGUUUUAUUAUUUUAUUUUUGUCUGGUUAUUGAUAUCAAUAGAAUAAACC